GACGGAGGAGGCAAGCGUUGUUCGGAAUUACUGGGCUUAAAGCGCGUGUAGGCGGUCCGACAAGUGCCCUGUGAAAGCCCUUGGCUCAACUGAGGAACGGCAGGGCAAACUGUCGAACUGGAGGCAGGUAGGGGCGACUGGAACUCUAGGUGGAGCGGUGAAAUGCGUAGAUAUCUAGAGGAACGCCUGUGGCGAAAGCGGCCUCCUGGACCGAUACUGACGCUGAGACGCGAAAGCGUGGGGAGCAAACAGG
RNAcentral lists this ribosomal RNA (253 nucleotides) under uncultured bacterium. Its description in RNAcentral is "partial 16S ribosomal RNA". It matches the Rfam family "Bacterial small subunit ribosomal RNA", at positions 524 to 776 of the family's 1533-position model. The record is from RNAcentral.